CAUUACAGUAACUAAGUAUGUUGAAAACUCCCUAAAAAAACAAUCGCUACUAAAAGCCCUUGAUGUGCUUACCGCUUAGCAGGUAGCCUAGACUGAAAACCCAACUCUUGUUCAGCACAGCCCCACACGUGUAAAAUC
This is a long non-coding RNA of Hippocampus zosterae (dwarf seahorse), 138 nucleotides long. RefSeq lists it as uncharacterized. NCBI's taxonomy places the organism in Eukaryota, Metazoa, Chordata, Actinopteri, Syngnathiformes, Syngnathidae. The record is from RefSeq and is a predicted model, not a curated record. The transcript is spliced from 2 exons.